Long non-coding RNA from Aricia agestis (brown argus), 180 nucleotides. RefSeq lists it as uncharacterized. The record is from RefSeq and is a predicted model, not a curated record. The transcript has 3 exons. Lineage: Eukaryota; Metazoa; Arthropoda; Insecta; Lepidoptera; Lycaenidae.
AGGCAACAUUAUAUCUCUCUCACAGACAUAAAUCUAGAUAGAUACCGCAUGUGUAUAUGUACUUCGCAUGCCAUAUCGCAUUCCCAAACGACGAGCAAUGCUCGUCUUUCGAAAGUCUUUUCUUUAGUCUGCUAUCGGAAUCGGACAUCAAUCGGAAUUUCAAAAAUACCUAAAAGUGCC